UAAAUCUUCAAGGAAGUGCUUGAAUUUCUUACAGACUGCCAAAUGGAACAGACAAGCAGGUUGUCUUGUGUUAAAGAAAAUGAGAUAUAAGUCAGUUACUCCCGGAGGCAAUGCUGCUGUUCAGCUCUUCUGUUUUUGUGGCCAGGGUCUUCAUGAACACUAAUAGGGGUACCAGGCCCUCUUCCUCGUUAGAAGAAAUCAGGAUAACAGAGGCAUAUUGGGCACCCCUACAAAAGGGAAAACAGUUCCUCCUGAGGAUUUCAGAGAAGAGCUGGACUUCCUGGCUGACUCUUACAUUCUCUUCUUCUGAACUGCUUCUUCUGGUAGCUCCCUGUCAUUUUGGACAAGCUCGCACUGCCCUCCUUGGCUCUUCUGGAACUGUGUGAUGGACUUCAUCCUACUAGGACAGAGUCGCUUCUUGAAUUCCCCAGAUAAACACCCACCUGUGUGAAUGACAAGCCUUAAUAAAAAUUAAUUGUCAAAAUUAAUCAACAAGGUCCCAAACAAGAUUGAGAGCCAGGGGACAGAAGUGCUACCGGUAAUGAUAUAGUCACAGGCAGACCUACGAGGAUGUUCAUCUUUCCUCUAAGUCAACUUGAAGUUACAGCGCUUCUUAGAAC
This 620-nucleotide small RNA is filed under the name Pan troglodytes (chimpanzee). Its description in RNAcentral is "processed transcript". The record is from RNAcentral. Lineage: Eukaryota; Metazoa; Chordata; Mammalia; Primates; Hominidae.